Molecule: long non-coding RNA, 1559 nt
Organism: Bombina bombina (fire-bellied toad)
Lineage: Eukaryota; Metazoa; Chordata; Amphibia; Anura; Bombinatoridae
Exons: 2
Source: RefSeq, a predicted model, not a curated record
UUGAUUAACUGUUCACAUAUACAUUUUAUGUACCUGCCUCCACCCAAACAGCAUAACACUGUCACAGCAGAGACCAGACAUCACCCUUUACUAGUCCCUGCCCUCAGGCUGCAUAUUCUGUCACAUGCUAGCCUGGCUGUCAGACAAAAUAACAGGAGAAACUUCAGACCAGCAUGUCACAUGAUUCAGAGCAGCAGCAAACAUUUCUAGUAGUGUUUGCUACUGAUCUGAAUCAUGUGACAUGCCGGUCUGAAGUUCCUCCUGUUAUUUUGUUAUAUUCAUUGAUUCAUGACAUCAGCAAAUGCAAAAUCAUUUUGAAAACUGGUGCUUAGGGGAAAAUUUACCUACCUUCCAUUCCCCAGUCUUCCUAUCUCCACUGGGCUAAUGGGCUUGGACCUCAGUUCCCUGCACACCCAGCCUAGAGGGGAAUAAACGUGCUGCCUGCUGCUGCUUCUGCUUGCUUCCCUCCCGAGUCAGCUGCCCUGCCCCAUAGAAAAGUUUAGGCAGCUGAGUGAUCACACUUUGUUAUUGGGCGGGACUCAGGAGGGAAGCAGCAGCACUGAGCAGAAAAUCUGUAUGGGAAGUGACUGUGUGUGUCGCUCCUGACCCGCUGCUGUCAGUCCCACCCACUAACCCGGAGUGACCCCACAGAGAUAGUCAGAUCUCAUAGUGUUUCAUUGACCAAGGGCCGGAUUGGGCAGCCGGGAUACCGGGAAAAAACCCGGUGGGCCGCCGAUCGUCAGCUCAGCUGGCUGCUGCAGUAGAGAAAGCAGCAAUUUGCAAUCACUCGUCUCUGGCAUAAAAAACAUGGAAAUACUACAAUUAUAGCCCUGGAUAUAAAUGAAUGUGUGGCGGCAGCACGAAUAUAGUGUACUUGACUUUAACCUACACAGUCGCAACGAGGAGGAAGGAGGAGCUGGCUGAUGUAAUAUUUUUUGGGGAGGGGGCGGCCGCGGUUAACAUUUGAGCAUCGUGCACCGGCUGGAGUAGGAUUCCCCUAGACAUUGCCAGGCUACACGUGUUCCGGAUCUGGCAGAGGAUUAACUGACUCAGACUAACCCCAGCGAUGUGCGCAAAGAUAAUCCAGCCUGAGUGACUCACAGCCACAUUUAAUCUCACUCUCCCUGAGUCCCUAGAGUAUCUGGCAUUACAAGCCAGCCAUCUAAAAAGGUUAUGUAAUGCAUUUAUCUUUACGCUGUAGCCUAGUGUCUAUUUUGGGUAUUUUCCAGCUGCCACAUGGCACAAUAAAUAAUGAUAUACAUGGAACCAUAGAUAUCUGUGCUUCUUUGUGAGAUUCUUCCUAGGUGAUAGUGAAUUUGAAACAGCCUGUUCUUUUUUAAUGCCUUGGUUACCAGAGUAGGCUGCAAAGCAUUGCAGAGCAACCUAAACCUAUAGACUGUGAGCUCUCCGGAGCAGGGCCCUCUUCCUCCUGUGCUAGAUUUGUUUAGGUUUGUUAUGUUUUGUAUUUUAUCACAAAUCUUUGUCAUUGUAUACCCCUAUCAUUGUACCCAGCGCUAUGGAAUUUGGCGGCGCUAUACAAAUAAAUGAUAAUAAUGGUU